Molecule: ribosomal RNA, 527 nt
Filed under: Bombus sulfureus
Lineage: Eukaryota; Metazoa; Arthropoda; Insecta; Hymenoptera; Apidae
Description: partial 16S ribosomal RNA
Rfam family: Bacterial large subunit ribosomal RNA (bases 375-527)
Source: RNAcentral
GGCUUAAUGAAUAUAAUUUUAAGUCAAUCUGCCCAAUGAUUUUUAAAUUUAAUGGCUGCAGUAUAAUUGACUGUACAAAGGUAGCAUAAUCAAUUGUUUCUUAAUUAGAAACUGGUAUGAAAGAAUUAAUGAGAUAUAUACUGUCUCAUAUAUAUUAGAUUAAAUUAAAAUUUUAGUAAAAAUGCUAAAAUAAUUUUAUGGGACGAUAAGACCCUAUAGAAUUUUAUAUUAAUAUAUAGAUUUAAUUUAUUUUAUAAAUUAAUAUUUAAUUGGGAGGAUUGAUAAAUUUAUUGAACUUUAUUUUAAAUAUAAACUUUGAUUUAAGAAUUUUUAAUGAUCUUAUUUUAUAAAUUAUAAGAAAAAAUUACCUUAGGGAUAACAGCGUAAUAUCUUUUUAAAGGUCAAAUUGAUAAAGAUGAUUGCGACCUCGAUGUUGAAUUAAGAUAAAUUUUAAAUGGAGAAAUUUAAUAAUUAAGUCUGUUCGACUUUUAAAAUCUUACAUGAUUUGAGUUCAAAUCGACGUGAGU